AGAGUUUGAUCAUGGCUCAGAUUGAACGCUGGCGGCAUGCCUAACACAUGCAAGUCGAACGGUAACAGGCAGAGCUUGCUCUGUGCUGACGAGUGGCGGACGGGUGCGUAACACGUAGGAAUCUGCCUAGUAGUUGGGGAUAGCCCGGAGAAAUCCGGAUUAAUACCGAAUACGAUCUACGGAUGAAAGGGGGCCUCUUCUUGAAAGCUCUCGCUAUUAGAUGAGCCUGCGUCGGAUUAGCUAGUUGGUGGGGUAAUGGCCUACCAAGGCAACGAUCCGUAGCUGGUCUGAGAGGACGAUCAGCCACACUGGGACUGAGACACGGCCCAGACUCCUACGGGAGGCAGCAGUGGGGAAUAUUGGACAAUGGGCGCAAGCCUGAUCCAGCAAUGCCGCGUGUGUGAAGAAGGCCUGCGGGUUGUAAAGCACUUUCAAUUGUGAAGAAAUGCUUAAGAUUAAUAAUCUUGAGUCUGA
Molecule: ribosomal RNA, 474 nt
Filed under: uncultured bacterium
Lineage: Bacteria
Description: bacterial SSU rRNA
Rfam family: Bacterial small subunit ribosomal RNA
Source: RNAcentral